UAUUACCUAGUCUUAGCUUGCAGAGUAAAAAUGUGAAGGGGAAAAUAUUUUAAGAAGCUCUGUGGGGUUGCUUUUUUUUGUUUGUUUCUUGCACUGGUGGCAUAUGGAGGUUCCCAGGCUAGGGGUCCAAUCGGAGCUACAGCCGCUGGCCUACACCACAGCCACAGCAACACGGGAUCUGAGCCGCGUCUGCGACCUACACCACAGCUCACAGCAACGCCGGAUCCUUAACCUGCUCAGCGAGGCCAGGGAUCAAACCCACAACCUCCUGGUUCCUAGUCAGAUUCUGUAACCAAAGCUACCCUUGGUAGCCGAAUAAUGCCACCCCUACCCAGGUUGUGCCGAUCCUUACCCUGAGAGCCCGUGAGUGUGGUGGGUCCCACGGCACAGGGCAAUGAGAAGUACAACUGGAAUGCAGUUUGCUGGCCUAAGCGCACAAAAAAGAAGUCGUGCUGGGUUGCACAGGUAGCCCCAAGCUGCAGGGGAGUCCUUUAAAUGGAGAGGAGGGUUUCAGGACAGCCAGGGUCACAGCAAGGGGACGUGGGAAAGACUCGCCGUGGCUGGCGUGGACAGAGGAAGAAGGAGCCAGGAGCCAAGCCGCGCAGGUGGCCUGGAGAAAUGGAAAAGGCAACUUGAAACAAAAACCAACCCAAAGGCGUUCUCUCCCCUGGAGCCUCCAGAAAAUAAGGUGUCCCUGCAGACAAUUUUGAUCCAGGCAGACCUGUGAUCCACAGGCUGCGAGAUCAUAAAUGGAGGUCGGGUUAAGCCACUGUGUUUGCAGUCGUGUGUUGCACUCACAGAAGCCCGAGGAACGGAAUCCAGCCUCCUGCUUGCCGAAGACGAGCUCCCCCCGUCCGUAUCCAUCCCACCGCAGAAGCACACCGAGCAAUCCCUCUGAGGGAGAGUCCCGGGCAUCAUGCAGCUUACACUGCCAUCCAGCGUGGUCCCCACAGCAUCGCAAAUGACAAGCUGCCGAACCGAGCUGCCUGGAGGCAGGACACCUGUCACACGGGGCGGGAUUGGGGGUGGGGGGCUGCUCAUGCUCUGCGCUGCUCAAAGGGCCUGGCUCACUCGGGCCAGGAGGGCCUCACUCUCCUCUGCGUCUGGCUCCAGCAUCCUGCGGCCCCCACGGGGCCAGGUUCCGUGUCCGACGGCUGUGCCGCCUACUGCCUGAUGAGGACUCUGUUCUGAAAACCUGCACUCUCCCUCGAGAAUCCAAGCGCGCCUUUCAGCAGGGGCUUCAGGCAUGCAGGACCAAAAGCAAGGAGCAGAGGCGUGCCCAUUGUGGCUCAGCGGCAGCAAACCCGACUAGUAUCCAGGAGGAUGCAGGUUCGAUCUCUGGCCCUGCUCUGUGGGUUAAGGAUGCUGUGUUGCCAUGAGCUGUGGUGUAGGUUGCAGAUCCUGCAUUGCUGUGGCUGUGGUGCAGGCCUGCGGCUGCAGCUCCCUAGGCUGGGAACGUCCCUAGGCCGUGGAUAUGCCCCCUAAGAAGGGGAACAAACAAACAGAGAGUGAGGAGGGAGCUCAAUGUGGGAACUGGGAUUCUCAGGAUAAACCCACCCGUACCUGAAACUAGGACCAGACUCGCCCUCUGCUUCCGAGCCCCGGGUUGCACAGGCCCGGGUCGGGGUGGGGUGUCAGCGCACGGGGUCCUUCCUCUGCUGAGAGUCAGUGGUGAACGCCCUGACUCACCCACCCGGGCAGAGCAAGCUGUGCGAGAUGCUCACCACACUGCAGACACAGAGAAGACCCGCCCGGGGCCUCUCUUCAAGUCCUCGGGGCUCCACGCGAUGAGCAUCCUUCUGUUCCUGCUCAGCAGGCACCACUCCCGGCCUUCUAACCGCUUCGGGAAGCUCUCGGAGAGACGGCGACCCGCGCUGCUGAGGACGUGGAGAAGCCAAAACCCUCUGACGUUUGGGGCAGGAGCGGACAACAACACAGCCCCUCUGGAAAACUGUCUUACGGUUCCUCAGAAAGAGAAACCCGGAGCUACAGACGGCCCAGCAGUGCCACCCAAGGGACGUGAAACCGCGUGUCUACACAAAACCUGCACACAGGGAGUUCCCGUCGUGGCGCAGGGGAAACCAAUCCGACUGGGAACCAUGAGGUUGCGGGUUCGAUCCCUGGCCUUGCUCCGUGGGUUAAGGAUCCAGCGUUGCCGUGAGCAGUGGGGGAGGUCACAGACGCGGCUUGGAUCUGGCGUGGCUGUGGCUGUGGCUGUGGUGCAGGCCGGUGGCGACAGCGCCGAUUCGACCCCUAGCCUGGGAACCUCCAUGUGCUGUGGGUGCGGCCUUCAAAAGAAAGACAAAACCAAACCAAAUCCUGUCGACAAAUGUUCACAGCAGCAUCUUCCUAAAAGCCCCAACGGGGGAACAGCCCACCUGCCCAGCAACAUACGGAGGACGGGCGAAGCCAUACGCCCACAACAUCAUCAUUCAGAAAGAGGGAAGUGUCGGUCGAGGCUACUCCAUGGAUGGGCCAUGCAUGAAAGCAUGACACUAACCCAAAGGGGUCAGCCCGCCAAAGACACAUACUGUGUGAUGCCAUGAAUCUGAAAUGUCCAGAACAGGCAAAUCCACAGAGACACAGAACAGAUCCGUGGCUAUCACGGGCGUCCCGGGGAGGGGAGGACGGCCAGCAAGCACAAGCGCUUUUUUGGGGCGAUACAGCUUCUAAAACGGUCUUGUAGACAUGUCCGCACAACCCUGUAAAUUUACUUAAAAAAAAAAAAAAAAUCACUGAAUUGUAUUGUCUGUUUUCAACAGGAGAAUUUUGGUAUGUCAAUUAUGCCUCAAUAAAGCUAUUUUGUUGAAAGCCUCUUGGAGAUCCUUAAAGCAAAGAUUAUCCAGGUGUAUGUGCAUAAAUGUUCAACAAAAUAGUUACGCUGUUAUCAUAUAAUCAAAAAUCUAUAGACAGACUCCGAUUUUUUUUUAAAAAAGUGAAACCUCUUCAUUUGUUGAUACAAAGGAUUUGAAUAAGUGCACUGCCUCUCAUGUCAAAGACAUGAUUGCAUAAUUUAAGUUGGUAAGAGGCCUAUGGAGAAGCUUUCUCAUUCAAAUUACACCUGAACAAUACAUGUUAUUGCACCAAGACAUAUUUAGACAUAUCAUGAUUUUCAACUGGUUGGAGAUGAAAACUGAAAUAUGGAAAACAUUUGUUUUAGUCACAACAGAAUCCAGAAGAUGAAGCUCACCAGAAUAUCUGCUUAUUAGGACUCAAGAAUCCUAACACCUGAAGCCUUGGCUUAAGUGGAUUUUAAAGUCAAUAUAAAUGGAUUAAGAAAUUUAAUUUUCUGUUGGCAUACAUGACAAAAGCUUCCAGAAUGACAGUGAAGUAUCGUUUUAAAAACUGCCCAGGAGCCAAUGUAGAGCUUUUCCCAGGCGGCAUAAAGUUCAGCGCUUCACAGAGAAGACAUACGGAACUCAUGGACUUUCAGCCUUUUUUUUUUAGGGCCACACCCAUGGCCUGUGGAGGUUCCCAGACUAGGGGUCGAAUCUGAGCUGCAGCCACCAGACUACAUCACAGCUACAGCAACGCUGGAUCCUUAACCUGCUGUGCAAGGCCGCGGAUUGAACCCGAGUCCUCAUGGACACUAGUCGGGUUUGUUACCACUGAGCCAUGACGGGAAGUCUACUUCCAGCUCAUUUUUGUGAAAAUGCCCUUCUUCUAUUUUGGACUGAACCAUCAUAACAGAAUCAGAAUUUUGUCAGGCUCUUAUGCUCCCAGGUUCUGCAAGGGAUCACAGCCCAAGGUGGUGACUCCUGGCAACGCAUAUCCCAGGGGCUCAACUAGGAUCCGUGAAACCGACAACCCACCCGGGCUGUAGGUCUCACCGCAACGGGGAGGAAGCAGGUGGAGACACAAGUCCCGGGCUCUGACCUUCACCCAGUCCCCAGCUGAGCCUCCCCUUGUCCCUGCAAAUGCAGCUCCUGACCUCAGCGCCUGGCCCGUGCCAUCCCCCGCCCGGGUUCCCCAAUGCUGCCGGAGCGGACGACCACAGACUCGGCUGCUCUCAUGUCUCCCGCUGUGGUUCCGGAAGUCAGGCGUCGACAACGGGUCCCAGGGCUGUGCUCCCCCAGGCUCCAGGGCAGAAUCAGGUCCUGACCUUGCCCAGUUUCUGAGCCUCACUCCGACCCCUGUUUCGCCUCCUCUCCCCCUCUGACCGCCUCCUCCUCUGUGGUGGCUCUGGACUCGAGCGGGCCACCUCGCUGCCUCAAGGUCCUGGCCUCACACCCCCAAGUCCCUUCUGCCCCGAGGUCGUCGUGCACAGGCUCUAGGAUCAGGCCCGGACACCUUCCGAGGGCCAUCACUCUGCUACCACGAGUAUGGCAGACGAGGCUGAGAAAAGUGAAUUGAAUCUGGUCUGUGAGACAUGACAGGAGGGUGACGCGGUGGUGGCAGGGCCAGAGCUGGAAACAGUGCUGUGCAUUUUGACAGCCUUGACCAGUGGUGGCGGCAGCUCUUGGCAGUAGGCAAAUCCAUGCACUUCCACCAGUCUUUGGACCCUGAGCUCAAGAGGCCUCUGGCCUCCACCUCCCGCGCACAGGAACUGUGGUCUAGGGGCCGGCAGGCAGGCCCGGGCUCCGCCUUGGAAAUGUCACAGUUCCUGCUGGAGUGACAGAAGCCCCAGAAGACAGGGCCAGCCUGCCAGCUCCCGCUCCCGGGGGCCUGACCUCAGAAAGCACACGCUUCCUGAGCUCUGACCCUGACCUCCUCCGAUUACCCCCAAAUCACAGGCAAAUCGCCUGAGGCCGGAUGCUUCUCGCAAGAUCACAGAGCCGGAGGCGGGGGGGGGGGGGGGGGGGCAGUGGAGCCCUCGACCCAGCCCUCUCCCUCUGCAUGCAAAGGCCACGCCGUGCGGCCGGCUCCCUUCCUCGGCCCCAAACGCCUCUGUCUCUUUUUCCUAAAACACCCAAACCGGAAGGUAUGACCUCAAAGCCAAGAGAAAUACAAGCAGGAGGUCAAGAGCCCCAAAGGGAGGCCCCACUGAGGACCGUGGGCCAGCUGGGCCUCGUUCUACACGACAGCAGCCCGGCCCUCCCCGGGCCCACAGCCUCAUCUCCGCCCUCAUCCCUCCCGGCACUCGGCAGGUCCCUCCCGGCGCCUGGCACCACCACCCCUUCAUCCCAGCUCUGCCCCCUGCAACGGGAGCCACCAGCACCUGGCCCGCCUCUCUGCAGGGCAGAGGUUCUCGAGGGGAGCGACUCUGCUCAUUCCCUAGACGGCAGGCCAGCUGAGCUCCUGCCACAGCAGGG
Molecule: long non-coding RNA, 5252 nt
Filed under: Sus scrofa (pig)
Lineage: Eukaryota; Metazoa; Chordata; Mammalia; Artiodactyla; Suidae
Description: lncRNA (ENSSSCG00000060109.1)
Source: RNAcentral